CAACAGGGAUUGCCCUAGUAACGGCGAGUGAAGCGGCAACAGCUCAAAUUUGAAAUCUGGCUCUCGGGCCCGAGUUGUAAUUUGUAGAGGAUACUUUUGAUGCGGUGCCUUCCGAGUUCCCUGGAACGGGACGCCAUAGAGGGUGAGAGCCCCGUCUGGUUGGAUGCCAAAUCUCUGUAAAGUUCCUUCGACGAGUCGAGUAGUUUGGGAAUGCUGCUCUAAAUGGGAGGUAUAUGUCUUCUAAAGCUAAAUACCGGCCAGAGACCGAUAGCGCACAAGUAGAGUGAUCGAAAGAUGAAAAGCACUUUGAAAAGAGAGUUAAAAAGUACGUGAAAUUGUUGAAAGGGAAGCGUUUAUGACCAGACUUGGGCUUGGUUAAUCAUCUGGGGUUCUCCCCAGUGCACUUUUCCAGUCCAG
RNAcentral lists this ribosomal RNA (417 nucleotides) under Fusarium guttiforme. Its description in RNAcentral is "LSU rRNA". It matches the Rfam family "Eukaryotic large subunit ribosomal RNA", at positions 66 to 494 of the family's 3401-position model. The record is from RNAcentral. Lineage: Eukaryota; Fungi; Ascomycota; Sordariomycetes; Hypocreales; Nectriaceae.